UCUCUCUAAACUGAACCCACACCACUAUCUCUCUUCUUCACACUAUCUCUCACUUUUUACUUUGCUACUGAAGAUCCCACUAAUCCCCAAUUCCAGCUCCUGGUUCCAUUCUCCCACAGUCAUCCAGAGCUAAUAAACAUUAAGUAAGACUACAAGGUAUGGCUAUGGCUGUAGGAUGUUAACGUUCACAAGAACUAAUUCCCUUGAAGACUCGCUCAAUAUUGUUAGAAGAAGGACGUUGAAGCCGGGAGAAUAGGUCUACAAUGGUUGUGAAGGAAUAUUCAAAAGUAUUCCGAGAUUAUAGGAUAGUUUGUUUGUUCUUGUAACUAUAAAUAGGAGUGUCGGAUCAUAGGAACAUACUCACUUUCGAACUAUCUUACUCGCACACUCUCGAUUUUAGCAGCAAACACACUUUAACACUCACAAUUCACAGUCAUUGUAACACUUAGAUUCGAUUCGAGCAUUAUCCUGCAACUGUAUCCUGGUUAUUCAAAGCAAUAAGAAGAACAAGGCAGCCGACAAUUGUCAGCUCCCGAGGUUUUAUGCCGG
RNAcentral lists this long non-coding RNA (549 nucleotides) under Helianthus annuus (common sunflower). The record is from RNAcentral. Lineage: Eukaryota; Viridiplantae; Streptophyta; Magnoliopsida; Asterales; Asteraceae.